RNAcentral lists this ribosomal RNA (326 nucleotides) under uncultured eukaryote. RNAcentral's name for it is "partial 18S ribosomal RNA". It matches the Rfam family "Eukaryotic small subunit ribosomal RNA", at positions 1470 to 1796 of the family's 1831-position model. The record is from RNAcentral.
CCCUUAGAUGUUCUGGGCCGCACGCGCGCUACACUGAUGCAUUCAACGAGCCUAUCCUUGACCGACAGGUCCGGGUAAUCUUUGAAUCUGCAUCGUGACGGGGAUAGAUUAUUGCAAUUAUUAAUCUUCAACGAGGAAUGCCUAGUAGGCGCAAGUCAUCAGCUUGCGUCGAUUACGUCCCUGCCCUUUGUACACACCGCCCGUCGCUACUACCGAUUGAAUGGCUCAGUGAGGCCUUCGGACUGGCCCAGGGAGGUUGGCAACGACCACCCAGGGCCGGAAAGUUGGUCAAACUUGGUCAUUUAGAGGAAGUAAAAGUCGUAACA